Aptenodytes forsteri (emperor penguin) is the source of this 1385-nucleotide long non-coding RNA. RefSeq lists it as uncharacterized. The transcript has 3 exons. NCBI's taxonomy places the organism in Eukaryota, Metazoa, Chordata, Aves, Sphenisciformes, Spheniscidae. The record is from RefSeq and is a predicted model, not a curated record.
GCCCUUUCAGGAGGGCAGGGAGUAAAAGGCAUCGCUAGCCGCAGCAAAAGGAAGCCCGAAAGAAAUGGCCUGGGCUCUGCCCCAAAGCGAAUGCUUCGGCGUGGAAAGAAAGGGAAAGCGUGACCAAGAAGAAAAAGAGGGUCUGCAGAACAUCAGUUAGAAAGAGAUCCGGUCCUGACGAAGGAUAUAUCACUUCCACGGAAAAUGAACGUGGAAGAAAUAGCCAUCAGCCUGUGAAUACACAAAACACUGAUACUUAGAGCAACGUGAGGCUCUAACAUGAUGCAUAAGUGUCCAACAACACCCAGCGUCUCCAAGAGCGGUGCUGAGCAGCCCUGGCCAGGCUGGAGGCUGCACUCUGUUCACCCUUGCUCUUGGUUUGAAUCUGGUCUCUACUUGUGCUCCUGCUGUUCAAGUGAGGGCUUGUGAUGGUAUAAGCAGAAAUAACUUCAUUAUCUCUUCUGCCGUAGGCAAGUGCGGCUGAGUGCAAGUGUAUUCCCAUUAAGUCAUGUGCAUUAACUGUGUGCUACUUGUAGGGAACUAGGAAACUACUACACAGUCUCCAAAUUGUUUUAUUUCUUUCCUCCCAUCCUCCCCUUACUAGGAAUGGAUUAAAAGUGCAGUCUCUUUGCUUUUUCCUUUCUAAAAGGGGAAGGAAAUGGCAGCGUGAAGCUGAGAGCAAGAUUUCCCCAUAAUAUAAAACAGUACACUGCCCCUGAUGUGGAAGGAAAUAUGCUGAUUUAUAUCCACAAAGACUGUAGCUUUCUAGCAUACUAAAUAUCCUGUGCUAGUGCUGCACCAGGUACUCAGCUGAGGUAUACAACUGUCCAGUGCUCACAGCACUGUGGGGAAAUGUUUCUUUAAAAAAAAAAUAAAAGCAGGCAUUGUAAUGCCAUUGUCUCAUUAUGUGGCUCUCGCAGUGAAGACAAAAGUAACAUUCCCAUCAAUGUCAACAGGAUGAGAGUAUGCCCCUCAGAGAAUAUUUCAUAUUGUUACAUCCUUUCAUGACUCGAACAAAAUUUCAUUCCUGGAUAACAGCCCUGGUUUAUGAUAGGAAAUAAGUGCUCUGUCACACCCCGAUAAUUAGUACAUCACAGGCAGAAUGUAAAACCAGGCAGUAAAAUGACACUAAGUUUCUGGCAGAACUUUGAGCCGCAUAUAAACCAUAAACAAGAUGAUACAGACAAGACAUGGUUGUACUCCUUCCUUUCAGAGAGGCUAAUAAUAGAAAGGUCAAUGCCUCCAGGAUAAAACAAAAUACUGAAGAUAAGCUCACGCUGGAAAGCAGUCACGAUGCCAUUGCCGCGCUUCAUAUUCACACAGUAGAAAUCGCAGCACAAGCAGCUUUGGCCAUAUGCCUUUCUUAGUAUAUAACGGACUUCUUA